Molecule: long non-coding RNA, 563 nt
Organism: Homo sapiens (human)
Lineage: Eukaryota; Metazoa; Chordata; Mammalia; Primates; Hominidae
Source: Ensembl
CUCUCGAGGAGCCAAGAUGGCCGAAUAGGAACAGCUCCGGUCUACAGCUCCCAGCGUGAGCGACACAGAAGACGGGUGAUUUCUGCAUUUCCAUCUGAGAUGAGGAAAUAGAAGUCCAGAGAGUAAAGCAGAUUGCUCAAAGCUAAUAAUGAUGACAGGAAUCAAAGCCAGAGACAGUAAUAAAUAUGGUUGUUUACACCUCUGUACCUCAUAAAGACCUCCAAGCAUUCUGUACACCAGCUCAAGAUGACUUGCUUGAAAUGGAAAAAGGCUGUUUUCAGCAGUAGUUAGCCCCUAUACUGGCAGUGUUUCACAGAAAAGGAAAGUGAAGCUUGGAAAAGUGAAACCACUUGCUCUAAGUGGCAGGAAGAGGUGGCGUUGAACCCCAGGGCUCUUGCAUUCAAAAGCUCUUUUGGAAAGAGAAAAGGAAAAGUGCAGCUGACUGAACUGUGAAGCAAAGGAGCUAAGAAGCCUGGAUGCCAACCCCAAGGGUCCUGAAGAGUCCCAUUGAGGAGCUCCUUACAGCAGAAAGCCCAUUUCUCAGAGGCACAUACAUGGUCCAG